AUCCACGGCCAUAGAACCCGUAAAACGUCGCAUCCCGUCCGAUCUGCGCAACUAAGUCGGGUAUCGCUCAGUUAGUACCAUGGUGGGGGACCACAUGGGAAUCCUGGGUGCCGUGGUUU
This 119-nucleotide ribosomal RNA is filed under the name Dioszegia hungarica. Lineage: Eukaryota; Fungi; Basidiomycota; Tremellomycetes; Tremellales; Bulleribasidiaceae. The record is from RNAcentral.